Molecule: long non-coding RNA, 770 nt
Filed under: Setaria italica (foxtail millet)
Lineage: Eukaryota; Viridiplantae; Streptophyta; Magnoliopsida; Poales; Poaceae
Description: long non-coding RNA (SITA_LNC003466)
Source: RNAcentral
GCCAAUUCCACGAAUCCACCGGCCAGGAGCUCAAGGAGGACGCAGUAAUGGCUUGGUAGUGCCUCUGAUGUUCGGUGCGCUGGCAUGUUGGCAUGUUCUUGAUGCCAGCAGACGACUCCUUGUUGGUGCAUUGGCCUCUUGGCAAGCAGGCCGGCGACGGCGACCUUUCUGGUUACGGCCACUGCAGGCGUGCUACUGCUACAGCUCGGAUUCAAGCUUGGAGUGUUGCAGUCUCUGUGCUCCGUUGUGUGCUUCCUCUCCACUCAUCUUGUCAUCUGAUCUCACUGUGUAGCUUCGAGCCUUUUUUUUUCCUUGUAUCUGUUCCUCUUCUUUUUCCUCUUAUUCUGACCGAUAUGCUUGUGCUUCUGGUAAAUCUUUUGCAUUCAAGUGCUUAAGAGUAAUAAAAUUGUUCAAGUCACAGUAAGCUGUAAGCCUGCCUAGUUAGUGCCACAUCACAACAUACACGAGAAUUACUCCACGGGAAUUCAGCAGUACUUUUCUUUUCUCUCCUUUUAGAAAAUAACAAUAAUUUUUUAUUUUGAACAUAAAGUACACUGAAAAGAUCAGCCCUGCAAAGUGCAAAACCCCAAGUUGGUCCAACUGGAUGUCAUGUUCAACUGAAGUAGGUCCAAGACAAGGCCCACAGCACUAGCGGCACUUCCGCGGCAGGUCUUGUCCAAGGAAUUCAGGUGGUUUCUGCUGUGGAGAUAGCGCAGCCCACACCCAUCUCGGUCUAGGUUCGGCUGGUUUUGCUGAGUUUUUUUUUUUUU